UCCGCGGCCAUCGUCCCGUCCCUUCCGCGGCGAGGACCAAUGAUAACGCCGCCCCGCUGCCAGUCCCUCCCACCACGUGCCGUGGCGGGCAGCGGGCCCGGCCGCUCUCCCCGCGGAGGCCUACGUCUGCGCCGGGCCCGCUGCCGCUCGCGGGACGCCCCUGGCUCCCGCUGAGGGAGCAGCAAGCCCCCGUCUCUCCUGAGGCACGAACCAGCGACGGGUUCCCCACCCUCGAGGACUCUUGGAGGAGAUAGGAUGCAUUGUACCUGGAGGAGGUCGCCCAUCGUUUAUGUUGAAUGCUGUUGCAAAUAUACCAAAGGGAAACGCCCCAAUUCCAAAUGACAUUUGGAAGCCACCAUCGCCAAACCCAAAGCCCUGGAAUCCCUGCAGAGAACAAAGCAACAGAAGAGA
Falco peregrinus (peregrine falcon) is the source of this 411-nucleotide long non-coding RNA. RefSeq lists it as uncharacterized. NCBI's taxonomy places the organism in Eukaryota, Metazoa, Chordata, Aves, Falconiformes, Falconidae. The transcript is spliced from 2 exons. The record is from RefSeq and is a predicted model, not a curated record.